This 253-nucleotide ribosomal RNA is filed under the name uncultured bacterium. Its description in RNAcentral is "partial 16S ribosomal RNA". It matches the Rfam family "Bacterial small subunit ribosomal RNA", at positions 524 to 776 of the family's 1533-position model. The record is from RNAcentral.
UACAGAGGGUGCGAGCGUUAAUCGGAAUUACUGGGCGUAAAGCGUGCGCAGGCGGUUUGCUAAGACAGGUGUGAAAUCCCCGGGCUUAACCUGGGAACUGCGCUUGUUACUGGCAAGCUGGAGUGUGGCAGAGGGGGGUGGAAUUCCACGUGUAGCAGUGAAAUGCGUAGAGAUGUGGAGGAACACCGAUGGCGAAGGCAGCCCCCUGGGCUAACACUGACGCUCAUGCACGAAAGCGUGGGGAGCAAACAGG